AUGAUAAAUGCCUUAAAGGAGCAAUCCGCUUUGAGAUGGGCCCGCGUCGCAUUAGCUAGUUGGAGGGAUAAAAGCCCCCCAAGGCGACGAUGCGUAGCCGACCUGAGAGGGUGAACGGCCACAUUGGAACUGAGAUACGGUCCAGACUCCUACGGGAGGCAGCAGUGGGGAAUAUUGCACAAUGGGGGAAACCCUGGGGA
This 200-nucleotide ribosomal RNA is filed under the name uncultured Clostridium sp. RNAcentral describes it as "partial 16S ribosomal RNA". It matches the Rfam family "Bacterial small subunit ribosomal RNA", at positions 189 to 389 of the family's 1533-position model. The record is from RNAcentral. Lineage: Bacteria; Bacillati; Bacillota; Clostridia; Eubacteriales; Clostridiaceae.